CCUACGGGUGGCAGCAGUGAGGAAUAUUGGUCAAUGGGCGGAAGCCUGAACCAGCCAAGUAGCGUGCAGGAUGACGGCCCUACGGGUUGUAAACUGCUUUUAUACGGGAAUAACGCGCCUUACGUGUAGGGCUUUGCAUGUACCGUAUGAAUAAGGACCGGCUAAUUCCGUACCAGCAGCCGCGGUAAUACGGCAGGUUCGGGUGUUAUCCGGAUUUAUUGGGUUUAAAGGGAGCGUAGGCCGCAUGUCAAGCGUGCUGUGAAAUUCCCGGGCUCAACCCGGGCCUUGCAGCGCGAACUGGCGUGCUUGAGUCCGCGGAAAGCAGGCGGAAUUCGUCGUGUAGCGGUGAAAUGCUUAGAUAUGACGAAGAACCCCGAUUGCGAAGGCAGCUUGCUGCAGCGGAACUGACGCUGAUGCUCGAAAGCGCGGGUAUCGAACAGGAUUAGAUACCCCUGUAGUC
RNAcentral lists this ribosomal RNA (460 nucleotides) under uncultured bacterium. RNAcentral describes it as "partial 16S ribosomal RNA". It matches the Rfam family "Bacterial small subunit ribosomal RNA", at positions 338 to 795 of the family's 1533-position model. The record is from RNAcentral.